This is a long non-coding RNA of Apus apus (common swift), 993 nucleotides long. RefSeq lists it as uncharacterized. Lineage: Eukaryota; Metazoa; Chordata; Aves; Apodiformes; Apodidae. The record is from RefSeq and is a predicted model, not a curated record. The transcript has 5 exons.
GCUCGGUAAGGUGGCGGCAGCCGCUCCCGCCGGGCGGGCGGCGGGUGUCGGGGUGGUAGGCCUGGGAGGGCCUGCUCGGGUCUUCCCUUCACAUCUUGCCCUCUCGGAGCCUGGCCGUGCUCCGGGGAGUCAACACAGGGGGAUAGAGCACCUUUCCCUCACAGAAACCCAGCGCGGAGCCCUCCCCUCCGCCCUGCAGCCUGUCGUGAGGCACACGCCCUCCCCUGCCCUCCCCUCCCCCCCCGGCCGCUCCUGGCUGACUUCUCGCCCCCUCCGCAGCGUGUGGCGAGGGCCGCUCGCAGCCCAUGGCGGCCGCCCGGCAGGAGGGAGGCAGGAAGCGUCCCCAGGGCCUGGCGAGGCCUGGCGGCGUCCCCGGGCCGGCGCCCCAUGGCCUGCGGCGCCAUGCGGAGGCCUCGCCGGUGGCCCCUUGCUGAGGAUCUGCAGUCAGGCUGUAUUGAGAAAAUUACAGUUAUGACCUUCAGCGUUUGGGGUAUUGAAUGCUGUACGGCACUUAAAUUCAAGUGGACUUUAAAUCUUUUAAAACACAAGAGCUCCUGCUCAGCAACUUCAUGUUUGAAACAUUCUAGACAUGAAUGAUCACACCUAAAUUAGAAGCAAUGCUCAAGAUUUCUUAAGAGUAACUUCUGCUAGAAGGUUUCUCAAAUGUGUUGAUGCUUUGUUAACAUCUUGAACUGAAGAGAGUUCCUUGUAAAUUGAUUGGUCUUCAGGGUUGAAACCAGCAUAUGCAGGUUUUUGAACAUCAGCUUAGGAUGUGAUGAGUGGCUAACUCCUCAGUUCAUAUGAGAUGACUCCAGUUGUUGCCUGUAAUGUAUUGUCUUGAAAGUGGAAUUAAGGCAAGUGAUGGCUAAAACCACACAUCUUUAAGGACCGUGUUUAAGCACAUACUUUAUUAAAACUGAGGUUUCUGAACAUAAACUGCUGUAAUUUAUCUCUGUAAAUGAAUCAAAUUAAAACAUAAGAAUGGUGCCAGAA